Molecule: unclassified non-coding RNA, 163 nt
Filed under: uncultured Sordariales
Lineage: Eukaryota; Fungi; Ascomycota; Sordariomycetes; Sordariales
Description: sequence contains ITS2
Source: RNAcentral
CAACCCUCAGGCCUUAGCUAGUCUGGUGUUGGGGCAUCUGCAGCAUUGUAUGCAGGCCCUGAAAAACAGUGGCGGUGUCCGCUAACACUCCGGGCGCAGUAAUUUGUUCUCGUCUAGGAUGUGUGGUGGGCUGCUAGCCGUAAAACCCUUUUAAUUUUCAAAA